GACGAACGCUGGCGGCGUGCCUAAUACAUGCAAGUAGAACGCACAGUUUAUACCGUAGCUUGCUACACCAUAGACUGUGAGUUGCGAACGGGUGAGUAACGCGUAGGUAACCUGCCUGGUAGCGGGGGAUAACUAUUGGAAACGAUAGCUAAUACCGCAUAAUAUUGAUUAUUGCAUGAUAAUUAAUUGAAAGGUGCAAUUGCACCACUACCAGAUGGACCUGCGUUGUAUUAGCUAGUAGGUGAGGUAACGGCGCACCUAGGCGACGAUACAUAGCCGACCUGGGAGGGUGGUCGGCCACACCGGGACUGAGACAAGGCCCAGACUCCUAAGGGAGGCAGCAGGAGGGAAACUUCGGCAAUGGACGAAAGUCUGACCGAGCACCGCCGCGGGAGGGAAGAAGGUUCUCGGAUCGUAAAGCUCUGUUGUAAGAGAAGAACGGGUGGGAGAGUGGAAACUUCACACUGUGACGGUAUCUUACCAGAAAGGGACGGCUAACUACGUG
Molecule: ribosomal RNA, 505 nt
Filed under: uncultured bacterium
Lineage: Bacteria
Description: partial 16S ribosomal RNA
Rfam family: Bacterial small subunit ribosomal RNA
Source: RNAcentral